RNAcentral lists this non-coding RNA (754 nucleotides) under Mesopodagrion tibetanum. The record is from RNAcentral. Lineage: Eukaryota; Metazoa; Arthropoda; Insecta; Odonata; Megapodagrionidae.
GAUAAGUUUUAUCCUUGCUCUCUAAUCUUUAUUAUUUUAUAUUAUAUACUAACUUUGAACCCUAAAUGGUGGUUAAAUUUGUAGUAAUUUUUAUUACUUUUCAAGGGAUCUUGGAUGUAGUAAUUUUUUAAUUUUUGGCUUAUAUCGUGCCAGCAGCCGCGGUUAUACGAUAGUAGAAAAAGAUUAUUUUUGGUUAAUAGUAAAAUUAUUAUAUUUAUUAUUAUUUUAAUUUUUUAGGUGAAAUUUAUAUUUAAAUAUAAUAUACUGGUUUUGAUUCUAUGAAAUUUAUAAUAAAAACAAGGAUUAGAUACCCUUUUAUAUUAAACGUUAAUUUUGUAAUACCUGGGUAUUAUUAGUUAAGUUCUUGAAACCCAAAGGAUUUGGCGGUAUUUUAAUCCUUUUAGAGGAACCUGUCCCUUAAUCGAUAAUCCACGAUUUAAUGUACUUAUUUUAGUAUUCAGUUUGUAUACCUCCGUUAUAAGAAUAUCUUUUUAGAGCUAAUUUUCUUUAAUAUUUAAUAUAUUUAUGUCAGGUCAAGGUGCAGCUUAUAAAUAAGGGGAGAUGGGUUACAAUGAUAUAUAAUUAUACGGACUUAUUAUUUAAAAUAAUAAUUAAGGUGGAUUUAAAAGUAAAAUUGUUUUUUAAAUUUUUUGAUUUAUGGCUCUAAAAUAUGUACACAUCGCCCGUCGCUCUCAUAUUAAAGUGAGAUAAGUCGUAACAUAGUAGAAGUAUCGGAAGAUGUUUCUAGUAAGUA